This 504-nucleotide ribosomal RNA is filed under the name uncultured bacterium. RNAcentral describes it as "partial 16S ribosomal RNA". It matches the Rfam family "Bacterial small subunit ribosomal RNA", at positions 30 to 523 of the family's 1533-position model. The record is from RNAcentral.
AUUGAACGCUGGCGGCAGGCCUAACACAUGCAAGUCGAACGGUAGCACAGAGAGCUUGCUCUCGGGUGACGAGUGGCGGACGGGUGAGUAAUGUCUGGGAAACUGCCCGAUGGAGGGGGAUAACUACUGGAAACGGUAGCUAAUACCGCAUAACGUCGCAAGACCAAAGUGGGUGACCUUCGGGCCUCACACCAUCGGAUGUGCCCAGAUGGGAUUAGCUAGUAGGUGGGGUAAUGGCUCACCUAGGCGACGAUCCCUAGCUGGUCUGAGAGGAUGACCAGCCACACUGGAACUGAGACACGGUCCAGACUCCUACGGGAGGCAGCAGUGGGGAAUAUUGCACAAUGGGCGCAAGCCUGAUGCAGCCAUGCCGCGUGUAUGAAGAGGGCCUUCGGGUUGUAAAGUACUUUCAGCGGGGAGGAAGGCGGUGAAGUUAAUAACUUCACCGAUUGACGUUACCCGCAGAAGAAGCACCGGCUAACUCCGUGCCAGCAGCCGCGGUAA